Molecule: microRNA precursor, 83 nt
Organism: Dasypus novemcinctus (nine-banded armadillo)
Lineage: Eukaryota; Metazoa; Chordata; Mammalia; Cingulata; Dasypodidae
Source: Ensembl
CGUGUUGGUCUGCUGCUGGAUGCGCUUGAUCGUGGCCCCCUUGGGGCCCACCACCAGCCCCACCACGCGGUAGGGCACCCUCA